Molecule: long non-coding RNA, 951 nt
Organism: Andrographis paniculata
Lineage: Eukaryota; Viridiplantae; Streptophyta; Magnoliopsida; Lamiales; Acanthaceae
Exons: 2
Source: RefSeq, a predicted model, not a curated record
UACCUUCAAUUUAUUGUAUGGUCAAAUUGUACGUCAAAAACUUCGUAAUAAUUAGGGUUUACACGGCGGUUGGACUGACCUCCGGCGGAAAUUAAUGGCUCCAAUAGGAAGCGCCGCCGCCGGUCAGCAACUUACCGCCGUAUCAACACUGAUUUCAAACCUCCAAAGGUGGCUACCGGAGUUCCACAAAUUGAAAUCCUCCGCCAUUGAAACUUCGUCGUAGAUCAUGUGGCGAAACUAAUUUUGAUUUAUCAAAGAAUGGGCAUAUUGAAGAAGCCCAAUGCAUAGUAAGAGGCCCAAUAAGUAAUUCUUACGGCCUUCGUCAACAGGACAUCGGAAAUCUGCUCAUCUGCUGUGCUCUUCUGCAAUUGCUACCCAGGGUAGGGUUUGCCAACAGAUUUUUUAUUCCUGCGAUUCAGGUUUUCUGGGCCAUAAAGAGGUUGUCUUGAUGGUGGUGGUGCCGUGCUCAGCUGCUACGCCGGGCAAGUUGGCAACAACAGCUGCCAUCUUCCUUACUGGUGCUGGAUUGUUCGGAUUUGGCCUGCAAGGUCUAUACGCAAAUGCAGGUCCACAUCAAGCAAAGAUCAAGGCUCGGAGCGAAUAUGUCCGAGAGAGGUUAUGUAAGAAAUAUGGGUACGAACUUUCUGGGCCAUACUUAAAAAUGCCGGACGAGAAACAAAAAUGAGAAUUCUUCAAAAUAUGCACACUAUAUGAUGCAUUUGUUGGUAAGAGAAUAAUAUUGUUUUAUUCAUCCUUAUACAAUAUUUAUUUAGUAUUUGAGCCAUCAAUGAUUAUAACCUCAAUAUAAUAGUAGUCAUUUGUAGAAUUAAUGAUCCAAAUCAUUAUUUAGUAUUCCCUUUGUCCUACUCACUGUGUUUUCACUGAAUUCCAAAGUGUAAUACCCACUGCCUGUUCAUCAAAUGCCUGCUGUGUAUGCUGUAUCUUAAAACA